RNAcentral lists this ribosomal RNA (253 nucleotides) under uncultured prokaryote. RNAcentral's name for it is "partial 16S ribosomal RNA". It matches the Rfam family "Bacterial small subunit ribosomal RNA", at positions 524 to 776 of the family's 1533-position model. The record is from RNAcentral.
UACGAAGGGUGCUAGCGUUGUUCGGAAUCACUGGGCGUAAAGCGCGCGUAGGUGGCUUUUUAAGUCAGAGGUGAAAGCCUGGAGCUUAACUCCAGAACUGCCUUUGAAACUGAAAAGCUCGAGUCUUGGAGAGGAUACUGGAAUUUCUAAUGUAGCGGUGAAAUGCGUAGAUAUUAGAAGGAACACCAAUGGCGAAGGCAGGUAUCUGGACAAGCACUGACACUGAGGCGCGAAAGCGUGGGGAUCAAACAGG